UACGUAGGGGGCAAGCGUUGUCCGGAAUCAUUGGGCGUAAAGGGCGCGUAGGCGGCCCGUUAAGUCCGCUGUGAAAGACCGAGGCUCAACCUCGGGGUGUCAGCGGAGACUGUCGGGCUGGAGUCUCGGAGAGGGAUGCGGAAUUCCUGGUGUAGCGGUGGAAUGCGUAGAGAUCAGGAGGAACACCGAUGGCGAAGGCAGCAUCCUGGCCGAGUACUGACGCUGAGGCGCGAAAGCGUGGGGAGCGAACGGG
RNAcentral lists this ribosomal RNA (253 nucleotides) under uncultured bacterium. RNAcentral describes it as "partial 16S ribosomal RNA". It matches the Rfam family "Bacterial small subunit ribosomal RNA", at positions 524 to 776 of the family's 1533-position model. The record is from RNAcentral.